AACACAAGCUCGUGGAAACUAAACAAAUUGCUAUUUAAUGACUUUUUAUGGUAAAAAAGUAACCAUUUUUAAUUUUUGGUAAGCAAGAAAAUUAAGGCAGAAAUCUACAUGUCUUUGAAAUAAAUAAAAAUAGAGAUACAGCAUACCUAAACCUCUGGUAUACAACAAAAGUAGUGUUAAGAUGAAAAUUAAUAGCAUUAAGUGCCUACAUAAAAAAAGGCAGAACAGAAGUACAAAGGAGAGCUGGUACCUAUCUUACUAAAACUAUUCUAAGAAUGACAGCCAGAUUCCUAAUUUAACCAUAGGGAAUACAGUUUUAGC
This 321-nucleotide long non-coding RNA is filed under the name Pan troglodytes (chimpanzee). RNAcentral describes it as "long non-coding RNA NONPTRT001112". The record is from RNAcentral. Lineage: Eukaryota; Metazoa; Chordata; Mammalia; Primates; Hominidae.